RNAcentral lists this ribosomal RNA (395 nucleotides) under Pseudomonas syringae pv. actinidifoliorum. Its description in RNAcentral is "bacterial SSU rRNA". It matches the Rfam family "Bacterial small subunit ribosomal RNA", at positions 1148 to 1533 of the family's 1533-position model. The record is from RNAcentral. Lineage: Bacteria; Pseudomonadati; Pseudomonadota; Gammaproteobacteria; Pseudomonadales; Pseudomonadaceae.
ACUGCCGGUGACAAACCGGAGGAAGGUGGGGAUGACGUCAAGUCAUCAUGGCCCUUACGGCCUGGGCUACACACGUGCUACAAUGGUCGGUACAGAGGGUUGCCAAGCCGCGAGGUGGAGCUAAUCUCACAAAACCGAUCGUAGUCCGGAUCGCAGUCUGCAACUCGACUGCGUGAAGUCGGAAUCGCUAGUAAUCGCGAAUCAGAAUGUCGCGGUGAAUACGUUCCCGGGCCUUGUACACACCGCCCGUCACACCAUGGGAGUGGGUUGCACCAGAAGUAGCUAGUCUAACCUUCGGGGGGACGGUUACCACGGUGUGAUUCAUGACUGGGGUGAAGUCGUAACAAGGUAGCCGUAGGGGAACCUGCGGCUGGAUCACCUCCUUAAUCGACGAC